GCGACUGCUGCGGUGGACUUCACCAAGAAGGUACACAAGAGCCUUGGAGACUGCAACCCCUAAAGAAAGCCCGACCCAAGAAGGGUGGGGAAGUCCUUGGAGCCAUCCACCCUGGAGUUCCUCCAGACCACUUCUGGGUAUAGCUGGUCUCAAAAGGACCCUGAGAAUCUUUUGUGGCUGAGCAAUUAAGUUCGGGUUUCCCUGGGGCAGACAGGAACCAUAGGACAAUGCCUCUGGCUGUUCAGAUUUCACCUCCAGCCCCACAGAUGAGUCACCUGGAGCCAGCUGCUCCUGUGGCCUUGCUUUCUCUAGCUAAGGAGCCUGCCGCUGUACAGACUCCAAUAGAGGUACUGCCAGAGCACAAACCCCAAAGAACAGUGGUUCUCAAAUGUGGCCAUGCAUCAGUCAUCUGGGUAAAAUUCAGAUUGCUUGGCCCCACCCCAAAGAUUCAGCUGGUGUGGAUUGGGGCAGAGAGUUUGUAUUUCUUACAAGUUCCCAGAGGCUGUUGGUACCACUGGCCUGGGACCACCCUUUUUGAAAGCUGUCCCUGUCCUAUUUUUGAAGAACUUGUAAUGCAACAUGGUUGCAUAAUGGCUUAUGUUUUUAUGUUGCAGGAUCAUGCUGCCACCUGGGGACGACCCUUUUUCGUUUUCAGGGUAUAGCAUGUUUUCUCACCUUUGCUUUCUAACCUCGAUUCACUGCAGCCAUCCCAGUCAUGGAGUGACUGCAAAGAGCAAAGCCAGGACCCCUUGGUGAACUGGUGGAUAAUUGUGGGGACUCUCUCACCCUUCACUGGAUAUCACUCCAAGUCAAAGUCUCCUCCUACAAGCUUGUAAAGGCAAGGGUCCAACAGGAGAGAGGCUGAGAGCACCAGAGUAGGCGUAAGGGAGUUCCGUUGACAGACAGACACAGGGUACACCAGAAUCUGAGCCCAUGUUUUAGAGCAUUAGGGUCCAAGAUUCGUGGCCCCAAAAACACAUGGCAGGAGGAGCUUAGGCACCAUGCUCUCCUACUUCCUGGGUGACAGAGAUUCUUGCAAAGGUCACAGAGUCAAAAGAGUUAUCUUUUAGAUUUUGAUCGGCCGUUCACUAGCUGUGCUUCACUCUUGAGAUUCUUAGUAUUUGCAUAGAAGAAUGAGCAACUCAGACUAGAUCCAUGCCCCCAGAAACUGCAUUAUGUGAAUCACUGGUGCUAAAAGGUACUCUGCAAAAGUCAGAUGAGACUGGAAAAACUGCAGCCAACAUUCACAAAGACUCACAGUACACACUGGCCCAUCACAGGCUCAAGAAGUCCUGCAGAACACAGCCUGUGUCUCUUGGCUUGAUCAUUUGUUUCCCAAACAUAUGGACCAUGGAGCUGCUUCCCACCCCUCUCUCACUCCCAUGGGUCUGUAUGACCUACUUGUUUCCUGGAAAGUGCUUUGAGAAACUCCAUAACGUCUCCAGACUGGGCAGUCCUAUGCUGCAUGGUUUGUGGAACCUCCUACCAUGUAAGCAAAGGCUAAAGGGUGGGGGUGAUGGGUAAGUGACAGUGUUGGGGUCCUAGGAGCAGCAAGGCUCCUGAAGCACUGUCCCAGAGAACCGACAGGCUAGUACUAGCACAGGGCAAGAGUUUCCCAGGUGAGUCCCCAUGGAGGGGAGUGAAAUCCCAGUUAGAAGAAUGAGGCCUUAGGGUUCAGGAGAGAGAAGAGCUAAAUCAAGAUACAGGCUGCAGAAAGUUUUGUCUCACUAUCUGUAAGUUGCUCCUUUCUUUUUCCAGCCCAGGAAUGGAAGAAACAUUGAAGAUGAGGCCCAGUAGGUAGUCCAAGGAUUCAACGGUGAAAGCAAGCUGGAUCUGAUGAGGCUGUCCAGGGAUUAUGUUGAACAAAAAUCAAACUUCUUUCCACAAACAUUUAAAGAUAUUUCUCUUGCUCUGUAUUCACUAGAUAUUUAGCUUUAUAAAAAUAAAGUAUCAUUGUGUGAUAUUGUGAAAUAGA
RNA transcript from Sapajus apella (tufted capuchin), 1975 nucleotides. It is a transcript of the gene named neuromedin S, with no coding region annotated. Lineage: Eukaryota; Metazoa; Chordata; Mammalia; Primates; Cebidae. The record is from RefSeq and is a predicted model, not a curated record. The transcript has 2 exons.